This 24-nucleotide non-coding RNA is filed under the name Arabidopsis thaliana (thale cress). The record is from RNAcentral. Lineage: Eukaryota; Viridiplantae; Streptophyta; Magnoliopsida; Brassicales; Brassicaceae.
AACUUUUGAAGAAUCUAGAAUCCC